GACUCCCAGUGCUCAUGCAAUGCAUGGGCUUUUGUUGAGUGUAAAUAGCUUAGCGAAUAAGUGGUGGGUAAGACGGGUGCCAGCCGCCGCGGUAACACCUGCGCCACGAGUGGCAAUCAUAUUUAUUGGGCCUAAAGCGUUCGUAGCCGGAUAAGCAAGUCUUGGGUGAAAUCGUUACGCUUAACAAAACGGCGUGCUUGAGAUACUACUUGUCUAGGGACCGGGAGGAGUAAGGGGUAUUCCGGAGGGAGCGGUAAAAUGCUAUAAUCUCCGGAGGACCACCUGUGGCGAAGGCGCCUUACUAGAACGGGUUCGACGGUGAGGAACGAAAGCUAGGGGAGCAAACCGGAUUAGAUACUGGAAUUUUUGUUUGAUGUUUAUCAUAAGUUGUGAUUUUGUUUGCCAAGAAUUUACUAAAAUCAUUGACCUAAACUAAACAAUGUUAUCAAAAAUUAUCCAGCUAAUUACCCGAGUAGUCCUAGCCGUAAACGCUGUGUACUAGAUGUUGCAUAUCUCUCGUGGAUGUGCAGUGUCGGCGCGAAGGUAUUAAGUACACCGCCUGGGAAGUACGGUCGCAAGGCUGAAACUUAAAGGAAUUGGCGGGAGAGCACCACAAGGGGUGCGGCGUGCGGUUUAAUCUAACUCUACGCAGAGAAUCUCACCAGCAGCGACGGCAGAAUGAAGGUCAGAUUAAGUGUCUUACCUAACGAGCCGAGAGGAGGUGCAUGGCCA
RNAcentral lists this ribosomal RNA (732 nucleotides) under uncultured archaeon. RNAcentral describes it as "bacterial SSU rRNA". It matches the Rfam family "Archaeal small subunit ribosomal RNA", at positions 377 to 1000 of the family's 1478-position model. The record is from RNAcentral.